AUGUGUAUGGUGUAAUAAACACAAAAGCUUUUCAUGCUUUAAUUAUAUUCUUUUAUAUUACACAUU
This 66-nucleotide transfer RNA is filed under the name Enchytraeus irregularis. RNAcentral describes it as "tRNA-Glu". Lineage: Eukaryota; Metazoa; Annelida; Clitellata; Enchytraeida; Enchytraeidae. The record is from RNAcentral.